GUUUGAUCCUGUCUCAGAUUGAACGCUGGCGGCAUGCCUUACACAUGCAAGUCGAACGGUAACAGGUUAAGCUGACGAGUGGCGAACGGGUGAGUAAUGUAUCGGAACGUGCCCAGUCGUGGGGGAUAACUGCUCGAAAGAGCAGCUAAUACCGCAUACGACCUGAGGGUGAAAGCGGGGGAUCGCAAGACCUCGCGCGAUUGGAGCGGCCGAUAUCAGAUUAGGUAGUUGGUGAGGUAAAGGCUCACCAAGCCGACGAUCUGUAGCUGGUCUGAGAGGACGACCAGCCACACUGGGACUGAGACACG
This 308-nucleotide ribosomal RNA is filed under the name Hemiselmis andersenii. Its description in RNAcentral is "partial Bacterial small subunit ribosomal RNA". It matches the Rfam family "Bacterial small subunit ribosomal RNA", at positions 11 to 328 of the family's 1533-position model. Lineage: Eukaryota; Cryptophyceae; Cryptomonadales; Hemiselmidaceae. The record is from RNAcentral.